GAUGAACGCUAGCUACAGGCUUAACACAUGCAAGUCGAGGGGCAGCAUGGUCUUAGCUUGCUAAGGCCGAUGGCGACCGGCGCACGGGUGAGUAACACGUAUCCAACCUGCCGUCUACUCUUGGACAGCCUUCUGAAAGGAAGAUUAAUACAAGAUGGCAUCAUGAGUCCGCAUGUUCACAUGAUUAAAGGUAUUCCGGUAGACGAUGGGGAUGCGUUCCAUUAGAUAGUAGGCGGGGUAACGGCCCACCUAGUCUUCGAUGGAUAGGGGUUCUGAGAGGACGGUCCCACAAAUUGGAACUGAGCAACGGUCCAAACUCCUACGGGAGGCAGCAGUGAGGAAUAGUGGUCAAUGGUCGCAGGCCUGAACCAGCCAAGUAGCGUGAAGGAUGACUGCCCUAUGGGUUGUAAACUUCUUUUAUAAAGGAAUAAAGUCGGGUAUGUAUACCCGUUUGCAUGUACUUUAUGAAUAAGGAUCGGCUAACUACGUG
Molecule: ribosomal RNA, 490 nt
Filed under: uncultured bacterium
Lineage: Bacteria
Description: partial 16S ribosomal RNA
Rfam family: Bacterial small subunit ribosomal RNA
Source: RNAcentral